Molecule: ribosomal RNA, 376 nt
Filed under: uncultured organism
Description: partial 16S ribosomal RNA
Rfam family: Bacterial small subunit ribosomal RNA
Source: RNAcentral
GUAGGUGGCAAGCGUUGUCCGGGAAUUAUUGGGGCGUAAAGCGCGCGCAGGCGGUUCUUUAAGUCUGAUGUGAAAGCCCACGGGCUCAACUGUGGAGGGUCAUUGGAAACUGGAGAACUUGAGUACAGAAGAGGAAAGCGGAAUUCCACGUGUAGCGGUGAAAUGCGUAGAGAUGUGGAGGAACACCAGUGGCGAAGGCGGCUUUCUGGUCUGUAACUGACGCUGAGGCGCGAAAGCGUGGGGAGCAAACAGGAUUAGAUACCCUGGUAGUCCACGCCGUAAACGAUGAGUGCUAAGUGUUAGGGGGUUUCCGCCCCUUAGUGCUGCAGCUAACGCAUUAAGCACUCCGCCUGGGGAGUACGGCCGCAAAGGCUGA